GUGGAGCGGUGAAAGGCUCAGUAACGGGCGAUUUAUUUGAUCUCCUGGGACGGACAACAUCGGGAAACUGAUGGGAAAACGUCUAAGUUGCAGUUUAUUGAUUGUGACGUAAACCUAUGUGUGCAGGAGAGUAAGAUGCCAUCCUAUCAGUUAGUAAGUAGGGUAAGGGCCUACUUAGACGAAGACGGGUACGGGGAAUGAGGGUUUGAUUCCGGAGAGGGAGCCUGAGAGAUGGCUACCAGGACCAAGGUCAGCAGCAGGCGCGAAAAUUAUCGAAGCCCGCCCAGGGGCGAUAGUGAGGAGACGUGUAUACGAAGUACGUGUAAAGACCGUACUAAUAACUGGAGGUCAAGUCUGGUGCCAGCAUCCGCGGUAAUUCCAGCUCCAGGGGUGUCUAUGAUGAUUGCUGCGAUUAAAAAGUCCGUAGUCGAGCUGACUGACUGACCUGCAAUGUGAUUGAUUAAAAGACGAGCAGGGUUAGGAAAGCAGAGAAUUAGGAGCGACCGAGGGCUAGAGUAUUGAAUGGCGAGAGGUGAAAUUUGAUGACCCAUUCAGGAGUGACAAAGGCGAAGGCACUAGUCAAGGGCGAAUCCGAUGAUCAAGGACGUAGGCUAGAGUUUCGAAAACGAUUAGAGACCGGAGUAGUUCUAGCAGUAAACUAUGCCGACACCGUGGUAUUAAAUUUUAGUAUUGCGGAAGAGAAAUCAAGUAAGGCUUUGGGGAGAGUACGCGCGCAAGCGAUAAAUUUAAAGGAAAUUGACGGAGGAACACCACAAGGAGUGGAGUGUGCGGCUUAAUUUGACUCAACGCGGGACAGCUUACCAGGCCCGAUAAUCGAGCGAGCGUAGUACGCGAUAGGUUAAAGAGUGGUGCAUGGCUGCUAUCGACAGUUGGGGUGACCUUAGGGUUAAUUCCGGCAAGUAGUGAGACCCCUGCAGAUAGUGGACAGGUAUUUUUAAGAUACAGGAAGGAAGGGACAAGAGCAGGUCAGUGAUGCCCUUAGAUGGCCUGGGCUGCACGCGCACUACAGUGGUCAUUAUAAGUAGAAAGUAG
This 1053-nucleotide ribosomal RNA is filed under the name Dictyocoela duebenum (nom. nud.). Its description in RNAcentral is "SSU rRNA". It matches the Rfam family "Microsporidia small subunit ribosomal RNA", at positions 71 to 1082 of the family's 1311-position model. Lineage: Eukaryota; Fungi; Microsporidia. The record is from RNAcentral.